CGAUUUGAGGCUUGCAGAUGGGAAGCGAUGGCUGUUUCCCUGCAAGGUCAGGAGCAAGGGCUGCUGGAGACCCGUGCAUCUGGAGCAGCUCCAUGGGCUGCGCCGGAGCGGGGCCCCGCUGCGUUGCCCUUGGCACCGGUGCUGCGGCAACGCUGCGUUUUGCUCAGCUCGGCGGGGCCUCGGCGUUCCAGGCCCCAUUCUGCCCAAGCACAUCUGGUGCAGGAGCUCUUCGAAGGGCCGUGACCUUCAUUGAAUCAACUCCUUCACGUCCCGGAGGCGGCCGUGUCAUCUCCUGCCACCGUGCUCGGUGCAAAGCCUGCAGGGAGGAGGAGGAGAGCAUCGUUUUAGGAAUCGGUUCCGUUCUUCCCUUGCAACACAGUGGGCAAGCGCGGAGUACGCUGCCCUCGGAGGAGGACGGGGAUGGGGUUAAAGCUGCCCCUGAGCAACGUGGCUGUGCUAAUGGGAAACGUGCUGCAGUGGCAUCGACGCGGCCGCUUGCACCUUGGUUUGAUUUGGGCUUUUCCACCGCGGCCGUGCCCUCCGGCUGCAGGCUGCAACGCUGCUGCCUCCCCACGGAACGCGCCGCACGUGGGCACAAUGCAAAACCAGCGUUGUCCGGUGGAAAGCUUCCAGCUGCACGGCCCAGCAGCAAACUUUUCAGGGUCGAACCAGGCCGGGAGGGAUGAGCAGCGUGGGAUUGGGUUCGUGGACGUUCCCCUGGGUGGAACUCGCCACGAGGAGAGCGCUGGGGGGAACCCAGCCCCACCGAUGGGGAGCCCCCAAAUGUUUCUGCUGGGUGCGAUCCGCCCUCCUCCUGCUGCAUUGCGGGGCCCCACUGCGGUGCUGGGUGGGGGGGGGGAUCUGCAGGCAGCAUUUGUCCCCUUGGGGCUCAGUCUGGGGCUUUUUCAAGCUCUGGGAGCAGAGCUGUGGGUCCCUGCCUUAUCCUUAGAAAGGGGCUGACACUUUCCCAUGGGGCGAUGCCUGACUCUUGCCAUAACCACAGUGCUUUCCUCCCCGUGCAUCCUCCCUUUCCACCCCCAUCCAUCCCCCUUUCCUCCCCAGUAGCCCCACGUUGAGUUUUGCCAUCAGGACCUGCUUUUCCUUUUGCUUUUGCUCCUGCUGUCAACGGGUUCAAUCUUGACAGCCUCCCCGUUUCCAUCUGGGCUCGGAGCACGGGGAUCCAUCCCCGAAUUCAGCUCCCUCCUUCUCUCCCAGUUUUUUUUUUAAUGAGUCAACCUCUCAUCUGUCAUAUUAAACCUCCUCAUUACCAGGUAUCUAAAUUUUGCUCUGACAAUAGUGACAGGGGAAGCUUGCGAUAUCAUUGCCGCAGCGCGCGGCUCCGGGGAGCUGGCAGGUGGUUAUUUCAUGCCCUGCAGGGAGCCGUGGGGGUGGGCGACGCAGCCGGAUAAUGGGCUCUCGUUUCCCUUCAUUUAGAAAACUCCACUGGGUGCAGAGGG
This 1457-nucleotide long non-coding RNA is filed under the name Numida meleagris (helmeted guineafowl). RNAcentral's name for it is "lncRNA (ENSNMEG00000005978.1)". The record is from RNAcentral. Lineage: Eukaryota; Metazoa; Chordata; Aves; Galliformes; Numididae.